UGUGUGUGGAUGUGUAUGGGUUUAUCUACCCUAGAGCAGUGGUCCCCAAACUUUUUCGUCUGGCAGGCGUCAGAUGAAGGACCGUGAUGGCGGACGAGCAUAUGCCGAAAUGCUGCCAAAAUUCGGCGGCAUUUCAA
Molecule: long non-coding RNA, 137 nt
Organism: Gopherus evgoodei (Goodes thornscrub tortoise)
Lineage: Eukaryota; Metazoa; Chordata; Testudines; Testudinidae
Exons: 3
Source: RefSeq, a predicted model, not a curated record